RNAcentral lists this ribosomal RNA (328 nucleotides) under uncultured eukaryote. Its description in RNAcentral is "partial 18S ribosomal RNA". It matches the Rfam family "Eukaryotic small subunit ribosomal RNA", at positions 1470 to 1796 of the family's 1831-position model. The record is from RNAcentral.
CCCUUAGAUGUUCUGGGCCGCACGCGCGCUACACUGACGAAUGCAACGAGCUUAUAACCUUGGCCGAAAGGUCUGGGUAAUCUCCAAAUUUCGUCGUGAUGGGGAUAGAUUAUUGCAAUUAUUAAUCUUCAACGAGGAAUGCCUAGUAAGCGCAAGUCAUCAGCUUGCGUUGAUUACGUCCCUGCCCUUUGUACACACCGCCCGUCGCUCCUACCGAUUGAAUGAUCCGAUGAAUACCAUGGAUUGAGAGUACGAAUAGGUUCGCUUAUUUCUGCUGCUCGAGAAGUGGAGUAAAUCUUAUCAUUUAGAGGAAGGAGAAGUCGUAACA